CCUCUUCACGAUGACGAGUUGAUCUCGUACAUCCUCGCUGGACUCGACAUGGAGUACCAGCCGCUUGUCUCUGCCCUCGACGCACACACCACGCCGAUCUCCUUAGAAGAGCUCUAUGCCCAGAUGAGCAACUUCGACC
RNAcentral lists this small nucleolar RNA (139 nucleotides) under Hordeum vulgare. RNAcentral describes it as "Small nucleolar RNA Z247". It matches the Rfam family "Small nucleolar RNA Z247". Rfam says of the family: Z247 is a member of the C/D class of snoRNA which contain the C (UGAUGA) and D (CUGA) box motifs. Most of the members of the box C/D family function in directing site-specific 2'-O-methylation of substrate RNAs. Lineage: Eukaryota; Viridiplantae; Streptophyta; Magnoliopsida; Poales; Poaceae. The record is from RNAcentral.